UACGUAGGGCGCAAGCGUUGUCCGGAAUUAUUGGGCGUAAAGAGCUCGUAGGCGGUCUGUCGCGUCGGAUGUGAAAGCCCGGGGCUUAACCCCGGGUCUGCAUUCGAUACGGGCAGACUAGAGUGUGGUAGGGGAGAUCGGAAUUCCUGGUGUAGCGGUGGAAUGCGCAGAUAUCAGGAGGAACACCGGUGGCGAAGGCGGGUCUCUGGGCAGUAACUGACGCUGAGGAGCGAAAGCGUGGGGAGCGAACAGG
RNAcentral lists this ribosomal RNA (253 nucleotides) under uncultured bacterium. RNAcentral describes it as "partial 16S ribosomal RNA". It matches the Rfam family "Bacterial small subunit ribosomal RNA", at positions 524 to 776 of the family's 1533-position model. The record is from RNAcentral.